Long non-coding RNA from Engraulis encrasicolus (European anchovy), 1599 nucleotides. RefSeq lists it as uncharacterized. The transcript is spliced from 4 exons. Lineage: Eukaryota; Metazoa; Chordata; Actinopteri; Clupeiformes; Engraulidae. The record is from RefSeq and is a predicted model, not a curated record.
AUUCUGACGGGGUAACGACACUCCCCUUUCCCUCAGGUGUGUAGCAUAAAUCAUUGCGGUGGUAGCUAGUUAGCAAAGACGCCGUGUUUUUGAUGCUGUCGAGUGUAGCGUGGGCACACCGCUCUCUCUGUCCCUCUGUUUGUGGUUGAGCCACCGUACAGGAAAGCCCUGUCCAUCGGCGGCUGGCGUGGGGUCGGCUGCUGUUCUGGGAUGGUGUGCUGAGCUGGGCAAACUCAAGUGUCGCUGGUGAUGUUCUUCCACUUUGUGUCCUGUGUGGUUGACUGCUUGCAUGCCGCUUCGAGAGAACCAGAGGAGGAGAUGGUGCCUUCGACUACACUGAUGCAGUGUCACUAGAGAAGGGGGGCAUCACUGUUCUUUUCCCAACCUUUUGUUUUGUUUUGUCCUAUUGUGUGAGUGAUUCAUCCUGUGCAACCUUUUCACUUUGACGUCCGAGACGAAGGGGCUUGUGUAAGUUUCACUCUAACAUACGAGACGAAGGGGCUCGUGUAAGUUUCUACUUAGUAACCGCCAAGACGGAGCUUGUGUAUAUGAUUAGGGUAUGAACACUGAAGUAUUACUGGGAGACGUAUCUUAAAUCUCAGACUCCUUUUGGAACCUAUACUUGCUGUAGGGGGAGACCAAAGACGUGUGUCUAACAGGCUUGUGUGUGUGUGUGGUGGCCAUUACCAAUCUUGCCCUUUUGGCAGUUUGUUUUCUUUUUUUACAAUUUGAUUUACUAACUUGUUUGCCGUGCAAUUUUUGUUAUUUGGUCUACCUCUCGUGCAACUAGCACAUUUGCACAAUUUUGUAUAUUGAGAUGACGUGCCUAAGGAUACUGUAAAAGCUUCAUAUUCUAUUUGUUAUAAUUGACUGAGCCCGUGAGGCAUAUUUUCAGAUACAGAGACUCAUUACGAAAAGAAAGAAAAUAAAAAGAACUCUGAAUUGUAUGACAGUUGUAUCUCUUGUUAUUCACUAACCUGUUGCGGGGAAAGUCAAAUCAAGUGUUUGAUGGUUGGGUUCUCUCACCCUGACAAAUGAGAGUGGCGUAGUCACUAAACAUCUUAAAAACAUCUAAAAAUAUAAAAAAUAUUACGGUAAAGAGAUAACGCAGGCCACAUUUGGCGUAGUCGGCAGGAUAACUAAGUGGAUACAGCUGUCUACAAUUGUUAGUGGUGGGUUUUGUAUGCAUUUGGUUUUGUUUUGUUUUGUUGGGAAAAGAACAGUGAUUACCCCCAGCCAGCGGAGGGCCCCACCGAUGAUCACCGGCAGGGGUGCUGGCAUAGCCGACGGCCAAGCUGCGAGAGAAGCAUGGAAGGACUGUCUGAGUUGAAGCAGAUGGUAGCGCAUCGGCAAGGGCAGCUGGAUGUGCUGUCAAGGUGGCUGGGCAUUUCCCAGCAACCUCAACCUCAACCGGAGUCGCAGGAGGCUGGCUUCACGUGGGAGAGCCAGCAUCGGGGGCACCCGGUGAGAGACCGUGAUGGGCAACGGGCCUCUGUGGGUGCGCAGCGCUCGCCGACAGCCCACUCAGGGGGCAAUGGGCAGGCCUCCAACCGCAGGCGCAGACUGUCAUUUAGUGGACCGGAGAGUAACCGUCCAAGA